GGGCCUGAGCGGCUGGCAGCUGGCGAAUCUGCGGAUCUUUUGCGCAAUCCUGCGGACUUUUGAUCCGCAGGUCCCAGGUUCGAGCCCUGGUGGGGCACCA
Molecule: transfer RNA, 100 nt
Filed under: Mycobacteroides abscessus
Lineage: Bacteria; Bacillati; Actinomycetota; Actinomycetes; Mycobacteriales; Mycobacteriaceae
Also listed under: 1 other name
Description: tRNA-Lys
Source: RNAcentral